Molecule: ribosomal RNA, 396 nt
Filed under: uncultured bacterium
Lineage: Bacteria
Description: bacterial SSU rRNA
Rfam family: Bacterial small subunit ribosomal RNA
Source: RNAcentral
AACGAACGCUAGCGGUGUGGAUUAGGCAUGCAAGUCGCGCGCGAAAGCCUUCGGGCGAGUAAAGCGGCGAAAGGGUGAGUAACACGUAACCAACGUACCCUCAGACUGGGAUAACCACUGGAAACGGUGGAUAAUACCGGAUGGUCCACUGGGCAGCAUUGCCUGGCUGGUAAACGGCGGCCGCAAGGCGGUUGCUGAGGGAGCGGGUUGCGGCCUAUCAGCUUGUUGGUGAGGUAACGGCUCACCAAGGCUAUGACGGGUAACAGGUCUGAGAGGAUGAUCUGUCACACUGGGACUGAGACACUGCCCAGACUCCUACGGGAGGCUGCAGUCGAGAAUCUUCCACAAUGGGCGAAAGCCUGAUGGAGCGACACCGCGUGCAGGAUGAAGGCCUCG